RNAcentral lists this ribosomal RNA (261 nucleotides) under uncultured archaeon. Its description in RNAcentral is "partial 16S ribosomal RNA". It matches the Rfam family "Archaeal small subunit ribosomal RNA", at positions 748 to 1009 of the family's 1478-position model. The record is from RNAcentral.
UAGCCGUAAACGAUACUCGCUAGGUGUCGGCCACGGUGCGACCGUUGUCGGUGCCGUAGGGAAGCCGUGAAGCGAGCCACCUGGGAAGUACGGCCGCAAGGCUGAAACUUAAGGAAUUGGCGGGGGAGCACCACAACGAGUGGAGCUUGCGGUUUAAUUUGGAUUCAACGCCGGAAAUCUUACCGGGACCGACAGCAAUAUGUAGGUCAAGCUAAAGACUUUACCAGAAUCGCUGAGAGGAGGUGCAUGGCGUAGUCGUGU